GAUGAACGCUGGCGGCGUGCUUAACACAUGCAAGUCGAACGGAAAGGCCUCAGCUUGCUGGGGUACUCGAGUGGCGAACGGAUGAGUAACACGUGGGUGAUCUGCCCUGCACUUUGGGAUAAGCUUGGGAAACUGGGUCUAAUACCGAAUAUGACCACUUCUUGGAUGUUGUGGUGGAAAGCUUUUGCGGUGUGGGAUGAGCCUGCGGCCUAUCAGCUUGUUGGUGGGGUAAUGGCCUACCAAGGCGGCGACGGGUAUCCGGCCUGAGAGGGUGUACGGACACAUUGGGUCUGAGAUACGGCCCAGACUCCUACGGGAGGCAGCAGUGGGGAAUAUUGCGCAAUGGGCGCAAGCCUGAUGCAGCGACGCCGCGUGGGGGAUGAAGGCCUUCGGGUUGUAAACUCCUUUCGCUAUCGACGAAGCCACUUGUGGUGACGGUAGGUAGAUAAGAAGCACCGGCUAACUACGUGCCAGCCGCCGCCGUAA
RNAcentral lists this ribosomal RNA (486 nucleotides) under uncultured bacterium. Its description in RNAcentral is "partial 16S ribosomal RNA". It matches the Rfam family "Bacterial small subunit ribosomal RNA", at positions 28 to 523 of the family's 1533-position model. The record is from RNAcentral.